AGAGUUUGAUCCUGGCUCAGAAUGAACGUUGGCGGCGUGGAUUAGGCAUGCAAGUCGAACGGGCCGCAAAGGCCAGUGGCGCGAGGGUGAGUUAGGCGAUGGCAACCAACCCCGCGAAUGGGGAUAGCCACGGGAAACUGUGGGUAAUACCCAGCGAUGUUUGAUGAGGGCAUCUUCGUCAAACCAAAGGUGCGAGUCCGUCGCGGGACGGGCCAUCGUGAUAUUAGAUAGUUGGCGGGGUAACGGCCCACCAAGUCAGCGAUGUCUACCGGGCGUGCGAGCGUGGCCCGGCACACUGGGACUGAGACACUGCCCAGACUCCUACGGGAGGCUGCAGUCGAGAAUCUUCGGCAAUGGGCGCAAGCCUGACCGAGCGACGCCGCGUGGAGGAUGAAGGCCCUCGGGUUGUAAACUCCUGUCGAGGGGGAUGAAGGGCCUGCGAAGAGCAGGUCUUGACCGAACCCUGGAGGAAGCACGGGCUAAGUUCGUGCCAGCAGCCGCGGUAAGACGAACCGUGCGAACGUUAUUCGGAAUCACUGGGCUUAAAGCGCGUGUAGGCGGGCAGGCGCGUCGUACGCUGAAAGCCUCCGGCUCAACCGGAGAAUCGGCGGCGAUACGGCCGGCCUUGAGGAACGCAGGGGAACCUGGAACUUCCGGUGGAGCGGUGAUAUGCGUUGAGAUCGGAAGGAACGCCCGUGGCGAAAGCGAGGUUCUGGACGUUUACUGACGCUGAGACGCGAAAGCCAGGGGAGCAAACGGGAUUAGAUACCCCGGUAGUCCUGGCUGUAAACGAUGAGCACUUGGCAGCGGAUUCGUCGAUGGAUUCGCUGCCGCAGGGAAACCGUGAAGUGCUCCGCCUGGGGAGUAUGGCCGCAAGGCUGAAACUCAAAGGAAUUGACGG
This 901-nucleotide ribosomal RNA is filed under the name uncultured bacterium. RNAcentral describes it as "bacterial SSU rRNA". It matches the Rfam family "Bacterial small subunit ribosomal RNA", at positions 8 to 916 of the family's 1533-position model. The record is from RNAcentral.